Molecule: non-coding RNA, 178 nt
Organism: Paramuricea clavata
Lineage: Eukaryota; Metazoa; Cnidaria; Anthozoa; Malacalcyonacea; Plexauridae
Source: the annotation of a GenBank genome assembly
UAUAAAACAAAUAAUGAAUGUUUUUAUUCGUGCAAUGGUAAGAAUAUUUUGAUGAGGUGAAAGAUGGAAUGUUCCAUUCAACUCGGCUGUCGCCUCGUUGAAUGGAACAUUCCAUCUUUCACCUCAUCAAAAUAUUCUUACCAUUGCACGAAUAAAAACAUUCAUUAUUUGUAUACUG